ACCCGCUGAACUUAAGCAUAUCAAUAAGCGGAGGAAAAGAAACCAACAGGGAUUGCCCUAGUAACGGCGAGUGAAGCGGCAACAGCUCAAAUUUGAAAUCUGGCUCUUUUAGAGUCCGAGUUGUAAUUUGCAGAGGGCGCUUUGGCUUUGGCAGCGGUCCAAGUUCCUUGGAACAGGACGUCACAGAGGGUGAGAAUCCCGUACGUGGUCGCUGGCUAUUGCCGUGUAAAGCCCCUUCGACGAGUCGAGUUGUUUGGGAAUGCAGCUCUAAAUGGGAGGUACAUUUCUUCUAAAGCUAAAUAUUGGCCAGAGACCGAUAGCGCACAAGUAGAGUGAUCGAAAGAUGAAAAGCACUUUGGAAAGAGAGUCAAACAGCACGUGAAAUUGUUGAAAGGGAAGCGCUUGCAGCCAGACUUGCUUACAGUUGCUCAUCCGGGUUUUUACCCAGUGCACUCUUCUGUAGGCAGGCCAGCAUCAGUUUGGGCGGUAGGAUAAAGGUCUCUGUCACGUACCUCCUUUCGGGGAGGCCUUAUAGGGGAGACGACAUACUACCAGCCUGGACUGAGGUCCGCGCAUCUGCUAGGAUGCUGGCGUAAUGGCUGU
Molecule: ribosomal RNA, 603 nt
Filed under: uncultured fungus
Lineage: Eukaryota; Fungi
Description: eukaryotic LSU rRNA
Rfam family: Eukaryotic large subunit ribosomal RNA
Source: RNAcentral